CAACCCUAAAAUCAUUUUCUCUCAAUCAGCCGUCUUUGAACCCCUUUCAUCUCUCAAACUUUCUCGAACCUUCCUGGAACUCUAGUCGUAUCCUAUCGUCUUCAAUUGUGAAACCUAUCGGAAACCAUGGCUUCUCAAGCCAUGGGGUCCUAUACUCACCUCUUACUACUCCUAUGUGCUCAAUGCUUGAAGAUUCGAGGCUAGGCCUCGAAGGUCUUCAUCCAGGCCUUUGCCGGCUCAAAGUUUUCAGGCCAUCGCCCGCCUUGCUCCAGCGUAUUCUCUCUUCUGAGCCUGAUUCCUGCUUCUCCGACUCCGAUUGGUUACCUUUUUAAAG
RNAcentral lists this long non-coding RNA (334 nucleotides) under Nicotiana benthamiana. RNAcentral describes it as "long non-coding RNA (NBEN_LNC039827)". The record is from RNAcentral. Lineage: Eukaryota; Viridiplantae; Streptophyta; Magnoliopsida; Solanales; Solanaceae.